CAAGUCGAGCGAACGGACGAGAAGCUUGCUUCUCUGAUGUUAGCGGCGGACGGGUGAGUAACACGUGGAUAACCUACCUAUAAGACUGGGAUAACUUCGGGAAACCGGAGCUAAUACCGGAUAAUAUUUUGAACCGCAUGGUUCAAAAGUGAAAGACGGUCUUGCUGUCACUUAUAGAUGGAUCCGCGCUGCAUUAGCUAGUUGGUAAGGUAACGGCUUACCAAGGCAACGAUGCAUAGCCGACCUGAGAGGGUGAUCGGCCACACUGGAACUGAGACACGGUCCAGACUCCUACGGGAGGCAGCAGUAGGGAAUCUUCCGCAAUGGGCGAAAGCCUGACGGAGCAACGCCGCGUGAGUGAUGAAGGUCUUCGGAUCGUAAAACUCUGUUAUUAGGGAAGAACAUAUGUGUAAGUAACUGUGCACAUCUUGACGGUACCUAAUCAGAAAGCCACGGCUAACUACGUGCCAGCAGCCGCGGUAAUACGUAGGUGGCAAGCGUUAUCCGGAAUUAUUGGGCGUAAAGCGCGCGUAGGCGGUUUUUUAAGUCUGAUGUGAAAGCCCACGGCUCAACCGUGGAGGGUCAUUGGAAACUGGAAAACUUGAGUGCAGAAGAGGAAAGUGGAAUUCCAUGUGUAGCGGUGAAAUGCGCAGAGAUAUGGAGGAACACCAGUGGCGAAGGCGACUUUCUGGUCUGUAACUGACGCUGAUGUGCGAAAGCGUGGGGAUCAAACAGGAUUAGAUACCCUGGUAGUCCACGCCGUAAACGAUGAGUGCUAAGUGUUAGGGGGUUUCCGCCCCUUAGUGCUGCAGCUAACGCAUUAAGCACUCCGCCUGGGGAGUACGACCGCAAGGUUGAAACUCAAAGGAAUUGACGGGGACCCGCACAAGCGGUGGAGCAUGUGGUUUAAUUCGAAGCAACGCGAAGAACCUUACCAAAUCUUGACAUCCUUUGACAACUCUAGAGA
RNAcentral lists this ribosomal RNA (967 nucleotides) under Staphylococcus aureus. RNAcentral describes it as "bacterial SSU rRNA". It matches the Rfam family "Bacterial small subunit ribosomal RNA", at positions 58 to 1006 of the family's 1533-position model. The record is from RNAcentral. Lineage: Bacteria; Bacillati; Bacillota; Bacilli; Caryophanales; Staphylococcaceae.